RNAcentral lists this ribosomal RNA (490 nucleotides) under uncultured bacterium. Its description in RNAcentral is "partial 16S ribosomal RNA". It matches the Rfam family "Bacterial small subunit ribosomal RNA", at positions 30 to 507 of the family's 1533-position model. The record is from RNAcentral.
AUUGAACGCUGGCGGCAGGCCUAACACAUGCAAGUCGAACGGUAACAGGAAGAAGCUUGCUUCUUUGCUGACGAGUGGCGGACGGGUGAGUAAUGUCUGGGAAACUGCCUGAUGGAGGGGGAUAACUACUGGAAACGGUAGCUAAUACCGCAUAACGUCGCAAGACCAAAGAGGGGGACCUUCGGGCCUCUUGCCAUCGGAUGUGCCCAGAUGGGAUUAGCUAGUAGGUGGGGUAACGGCUCACCUAGGCGACGAUCCCUAGCUGGUCUGAGAGGAUGACCAGCCACACUGGAACUGAGACACGGUCCAGACUCCUACGGGAGGCAGCAGUGGGGAAUAUUGGAAAAUGGGCGCAAGCCUGAUGCAGACAUGCCGCGUGUAUGAAGAAGGCCUUCGGGUUGUAAAGUACUUUCAGCGGGGAGGAAGGGAGUAAAGUUAAUACCUUUGCUCAUUGACGUUACCCGAAGAAGAAGAACCGGCUAACUCCGUG